Long non-coding RNA from Limulus polyphemus (Atlantic horseshoe crab), 699 nucleotides. RefSeq lists it as uncharacterized. The transcript is spliced from 3 exons. Lineage: Eukaryota; Metazoa; Arthropoda; Merostomata; Xiphosura; Limulidae. The record is from RefSeq and is a predicted model, not a curated record.
UACGGACGGUUUUGCUAUUAAUCCAUAAAAGGGAGGGUCAAGAAAAUGCACCAAAUUAUUCAAGGUUUUCCUGCUGUUAUUUCAAAAUUAAUGAUGGCGCCACCAUUAGUAAUUAAUUAUCUUAACCUUGAGGCUUUCUCGCUUGGUCCACGCGGGCUCAUUAGGGCGCCCUUAUUUAAGAAAGAUAAGCAUUUUCUCACUUGUAAUGUGGGCUGAUAGUAUAAGAACUAAAGAAAGACGAUAAUACAAAAGGAGACCGGGUGUAAUUGUUUUUAACAAACCUGCAAUCGUGUUCAUCGCACGUGCACAGGAGAAGCAAAACUCGAGAGAGUAGAAGAAUUCCGUUCAUUUAGCAAACGUAUUAAGUUAAGCUCGCUUGUAGAUGAAGAUGUGUAACAAAGCCAUUCUUGCACUGGCGGUUUUGAUAGCUUUCUGUAAUAUUGUGAAAACUUCAUCAUUAGUUCACGACAUUGCCCAGCGAUCCCUGAGAUGUGCUGGAUAUGGCGCAAGGUGUAGCCCUUGGAGGUAUCCUCGGUGUUGCUGGCCUUUAAAGUGCACCCGUUUAAGAUGUUACCGUGGCUUCAGAAACGGAUGAUCUUAUGGUGUUUGUGUGGUCGUCUCGUCAUAUGCUUCUUCAGUUAUAGCUGUUUUAUAUAAUUGUUAUUAAAACGGGUUGAAUAAAAAGAUAAUUGUACUGCA